CCUACGGGAGACAGCAGUGGGGAAUAUUGGGCAAUGGAGGCAACUCUGACCCAGCAACGCCGCGUGAAUGAUGAAGGUCUUCGGAUUGUAAAGUUCUGUGAUGGGGGAUGAACACAAUGACGGUACCCCAAUAGCAAGCCACGGCUAACUACGUGCCAGCAGCCGCGGUAAUACGUAGGUGGCAAGCGUUAUCCGGAAGGACUGGGCGUAAAGGGUGCGUAGGUGGUUUAGUAAGUUGGCGGUGUAAUUCCGGGGCUCAACCAUGAGAGUGCGGCGCGAACUGGAGACCUUGAGUGCGCGGAAGGCAGGCGGAAUUCGUGGUGUAGCGGUGAAAUGCUUAGAUAUCACGAAGAACCCCGAUUGCGAAGGCAGCCUGCCGCAGCGUUACUGACGCUGAAGCUCGAAAGCGCGGGUAUCGAACAGGAUUAGAUACCCCUGUAGUC
This 443-nucleotide ribosomal RNA is filed under the name uncultured bacterium. RNAcentral's name for it is "partial 16S ribosomal RNA". It matches the Rfam family "Bacterial small subunit ribosomal RNA", at positions 338 to 795 of the family's 1533-position model. The record is from RNAcentral.